RNAcentral lists this long non-coding RNA (567 nucleotides) under Ursus maritimus (polar bear). RNAcentral describes it as "lncRNA (ENSUMAG00000016703.1)". Lineage: Eukaryota; Metazoa; Chordata; Mammalia; Carnivora; Ursidae. The record is from RNAcentral.
GUCAGAAGAGCGGCGGUAGCCUGACCGUGUCCCAGUGCCCACGGCGUUGACCGCGCUUCCUCUCAUCACACCGAAGGAGCGUGAGAUUGUGUGUCUAUUGCCGUAACUUGUACCCUGGUAUCGUACACUGUAAUUUUGGCCUUGGAGCUGGAGUAGAUGAAGAUUUGGAUUCAUGUGAUCUUACUCCUGAGCAUGAGAAGACGGAAAGAAAAUUUGUAAGAACAUAUAAAUUUGUGUACUUAGAUGUUGAGAGUCUAAUGGCUUCAAUUAUUAUUAUUAUUAUUAUUUGAAAAAUGGAUUCUCUGCUAAAUGAGAAAAUGCUACUAGAGCUAGAGAGUUAAGACAAAACUAAAUUCUUUGGAAUCGGAACUCCAAACCCUCCUGCCUCUUGGGAAACUCCCUCUUUGUGUGAGUAUAUUGAAACAAAAGCAUAGAACCAAGGGAAACACUCAGAGGAAUCUUUCUUUUCAGGAGACUUCAAAGCAAGAGGAGCUCAAGAAGAAAUGAAGGACAGUCCAAAACACUGAAGUAGAACUAGGGAAAUCAAAAUAGAGAAGUUUUAAGGUG